CCUACGGGGGGCUGCAGUGGGGAAUAUUGGACAAUGGGGGCAACCCUGAUCCAGCCAUGCCGCGUGUGUGAAGAAGGCCCUCGGGUUGUAAAGCACUUUCAGUGAGGAAGAACGCCUGGUGGUUAAUACCCAUCAGGAAAGACAUCACUCACAGAAGAAGCACCGGCUAACUCCGUGCCAGCAGCCGCAGUAAUACGGAGGGUGCGAGCGUUAAUCGGAAUUACUGGGCGUAAAGCGCGCGUAGGUGGCUUGAUAAGCCGGUUGUGAAAGCCCCGGGCUCAACCUGGGAACGGCAUCCGGAACUGUCAAGCUAGAGUGCAGGAGAGGAAGGUAGAAUUCCCGGUGUAGCGGUGAAAUGCGUAGAGAUCGGGAGGAAUACCAGUGGCGAAGGCGGCCUUCUGGACUGACACUGACACUGAGGUGCGAAAGCGUGGGUAGCAAACAGGAUUAGAUACCCCGGUAGUC
This 465-nucleotide ribosomal RNA is filed under the name Vreelandella stevensii. RNAcentral describes it as "partial 16S ribosomal RNA". It matches the Rfam family "Bacterial small subunit ribosomal RNA", at positions 338 to 795 of the family's 1533-position model. Lineage: Bacteria; Pseudomonadati; Pseudomonadota; Gammaproteobacteria; Oceanospirillales; Halomonadaceae. The record is from RNAcentral.